AUUGUUUGAGAUUUUGGGUAUUCAUGUUAUCAUCUUUUUAUUUUUAACAUAUUAAUUACCAUCAAAUUAUUUCCUAUGACAAUUUCCUAUAAUAUAUUAGCAAAAAACUUAAUAUUUAUUUCUACCUUUAAUCUUGGAAGGGCUAACAUGUACUUUCGAUAAAAAGGAAUUUCUUGUGUACCAAGUUAUACCUAGGCUUGGCUUGGAAAUUGGAACCCUUCUUGUAUUGAAUGCAAGCUUUUGGGAGAAAAGCCUUAAGUUGUUGAAUUUAUGUGCUGAUAAUUGA
RNAcentral lists this unclassified non-coding RNA (286 nucleotides) under Hevea brasiliensis (rubber tree). Lineage: Eukaryota; Viridiplantae; Streptophyta; Magnoliopsida; Malpighiales; Euphorbiaceae. The record is from RNAcentral.